This is an RNA transcript of Cucurbita maxima (winter squash), 6543 nucleotides long. It is a transcript of the gene named centrosomal protein of 135 kDa, with no coding region annotated. The record is from RefSeq and is a predicted model, not a curated record. Lineage: Eukaryota; Viridiplantae; Streptophyta; Magnoliopsida; Cucurbitales; Cucurbitaceae. The transcript has 12 exons.
AGCAGGGGAUGGGCCUGAACCGACAUUUCGGUAGAGGCUCGUUAAUGAAGUUGAGCCUGCGAUUCAGACCAACCGUGACGCUAAAUCAGGUCAAUUGAUUUGCGGAAUUAAUUGCUUUAACUCUCUACAGAUUCAUGUGGAGAAGGUUAUCGAGUUGUUGAUCCAGUAUCGAUAUCUGACAGUUACUCAUUCAUCAUUGUAAGCAAUUGCGAUAGUGAUUUUGCUGGGCGGUGGGUUAUGAGAUAUCGACAUGUCUGAGAAUCAUGAUCCAGAGCAGGCGCUGCUGAGUUCAGGAACUGGAGCUGAAGAUGGAAAUAAUGGGGUGGAAAUUGUGGAAAUUACGGUUAAUGAUGGUGUUGUGGAGUCAUCCUCUGAGACGUCCGCGGACAUUGUUUCGGAGAAUGACUCUGUUUUGCAGUCCUCUGAGAUAUCCAGUGGAUUUGUCCCGUCCGAACCGAACCAGGGAUCGGCGAUAUCACCAGAGGUUCCUCGAACCGAAGGUGCAGAGAACUUGCCACAAGAUGACUCUGAUGAUAUUGUAAUAGUCGAAGAUGUUGGAAAAGAAGAUAUGUUUGUGGACUGCCCGGACGAGUUGGUUGGCAAUGCUGAUAUCAGAGAAGCAGUAGCAGCUGCUGAAACUCAAGGUAGUUCGACGGAGGAAGUGCCUUCUGAUACGCAGGAAUUACAGUAUGAGGUAGAAAAAGUUUCUUUAAUUCACGAGGUCGAAAAUACGAGGGCCACUCUGAAUGAGACCAUUUUUGAGAAAGAAAAUGUCAUACAAGAUUUUGAGGAAGAAAGAGAAGCUUUUGUGCAAGAACUUCUUAGCAUUCGUCGCCAAUUAAAGACUGCUACUAAUCAACAGUCAUUGUUCGAUAUUACUGGCAGUCAGUUGAACGACGAGCAGGUUGAAGAGAACACUUUGGUUACUAAUACCACAUUGAAAGACCUAAUAAAUGAAUGCUCACAAUUGGUUAAUAGGACUUUAGAUGAACGGUUGCAGUACGAGGUUACUAUAGGAGGACUCCGUAAUAGCCUCUUAACGAAGGAUCAAGAGAUUGAAUAUCUUAAUGCAAAGGUUGUCGAAAUUUCGGUGACUGAUGAAGUUGCUCGCUCUUAUGCAAAUUCAAUUGAAGAUUCUAUGAAAAUUUCGUUAGAGAAGGAGAGGGAUACGAAUGCCACAUUAGACAGAGUGCUAGCUUCUGUCAACUCAGUAUUGAAUCAGCAAGAUCUCCCUGGCGAUUCUACAUCUGAGAAAACAGUUCUUGUUGAAAGAAGCGCUUCUCUGUUGGUUGAUAAUUAUAAAAAAAUCCUUCUGGAAAUCAAUCAACUCCAAAAAUGUUUAUCUGGGGCAGAGUCUGACAUCGUCUUUGCAGGAUUGGAAACAAUUUUGGGCUCUGCUUGUGAUGAGUUAAUUGAGCUCAAAGCUAAAGAGGUAAGCAAUGUUGCAAAAAUGCAUCAACUGGAAGAUGAAAAUAGAAGAUUGGCUGUUGAGCUAGACAAUUACAGAUUGACAGUUGAGACUGUUAAUGCAGAACUUGAAAAAGCAAAAAGUGAGCUGGAACAGGAAAUGAUGAGGGGUGCUAGUACCAAAGAGAAGCUAAAAAUGGCUGUGACAAAAGGCAAGGCGUUAGUACAGCAACGUGAUGCAUUAAAACAGUCUCUAGCUGACAAAGGUCAUGAGCUUGAAAAAUAUUCUAUUGAAUUACAAGAGAAAUCGAAUGCCUUGGAGGCUGCAGAACUAAUUAAGGUUGACUUGGCUAAAAAUGAAAAUUUAGUUGCAUCACUUCAGGAAAAUUUGUCGCAAAGGAAUACGGUCCUUGAAACUUUUGAGGAUAUCAUAUCUCAAGUUGAAGUUCCUCGUGAACUCACGUCAAUGGAUAGUAUAGAAAGAAUCAAGUGGCUUGUGGAUGAGAAGAAAGUCCUGGAGGCUAUUUUAUUGGAGUUUCAUAAAUUAAAAGAUACUCAAAACUUAUCUGAUUUUCCAGAUUUGAUUGCACCUUAUGACCUGAAAUCUUCCGUCAGUUGGCUUAAGGAAUCAUUUUUUCAGGCUAAAGAUGAAAUAAUGAUCUUGCGAGAUGAACUUGCUAAAACAAAAGAAGCAGCAUGUGGAGAGAUUGACCGCAUAAGUGCGUUACUUUCAAUUGAAUUACAGGAAAAGGACUAUAUCCAGGAGGAGUUGGAUGAUCUGUUAAAAAAACACGAAGAUCUGUUAAGAAAACACGAAGAUCUGUUAAGAAAACACGAAGAUCUGUUAAGAAAACACGAAGUGGUCAUGAUAAAAGAGCAUCAGGCUUCGUUGGAGAAGGCUCAAAUCAUAAAAAUGUUACAAGAAGAAUCUGGAAUGAUAACAGAUGAUGGAGGGGUCAGUGGAAUUUCGUUGGACUUAAACUUGCUUGCUUACAGAUGCUUUCAGAGGAUAAAAGAGCAGGCCAGUGUUGCUGCUGAAAUUUCUAGUGAAUACGUAGAAUCUUUUGCAAAGGUUCAAACUCUUUUGUAUGUUAGUCAUCAGGAUUUGAUGCUCCAUGAUAUACUCCUAGAAGAGGAGUCUUCUAAUAUCAGUAAUUACUCAACUAGAUUAAGAUCAGUAUCUCAAGAACUUAGAGAAGUGAAAGAGGAAAAUGACUCUUUGCAGAGAGAUAUCCAAAGAUCAGAGGAGAAAUAUGCCAUGCUAAGGGAAAAGUUGUCCUUGGCAGUCAAGAAAGGCAAAGGACUUGUUCAGGAUAGGGAAAAUAUGAAAAGUCUCUUAGAUGAUAAGAACAUAGAAAUAGAGAAGUUGAAAUUACAAUUAGAUAGUCUAGAAUCAACAGUUGAUGAUUGCAGAAAUCAAAUCAAUUUGUUGUCUAUUGAUACACAGCGCAUUCCAGAGUUGGAGGCUGAUCUUGAUAUCUUGAAGGGAAAAUGCAAUCAAUAUGAGCAGUUCUUAUUAGAGAGCAAUAAUAUGUUACAGAAAGUAAUUGAAUCAAUUGAUGGAAUUGUUCUUCCCAUUAAUAUAGUGUUUGAAGAGCCUAUAGCUAAGGUGAAGUGGAUUGCAGACUACAUUAGGGAAUCACAUGAUGCUAAGAUAUGUAAAGAACAAGAAUUGGAGAGUAUUAAAGAGGAAUUAAGUACUAUGGAAAGUAAAUUAAGAAAUGCUUUAGCUGCUAUGAACUCAUUGGAAAUUGCAUUAUCAUCUGCUGAGAAAAACAUUUUUCAACUUUCUGAGGAGAAAAAGGAAAUAGAAUCUAGUAAGAUACACAUUGAACACGAAUUACAGAAAGCAUUAGAUGAAGCCUAUUCACAGUCCAGCAAGUCUGCAGAGACUUAUUCAUCCAUGAACCUACUUCAAGAAUCGUUAUCACAGGCAGAAAAUAAAAUACUUGCGCUUGUCAAAGAUAAAGAAGAAGCUGAAGUUUGUAAAGUCACUGUAGAGAUGGAAUCUAAAAAAGUAAAGGAGGAAGUGGCUAUUCAGACAGAUAAAUUGGCAGAGGCCCAUAGAACUAUAAACACGUUAGAAAAGACAUUAAUCGAGCUUGAGACAAAUGUUGCUUUGCUGAAUGAACAGAAUGCUGAAGCACAAAGUGCUAUAGAGAAGCUAGAAACUGAGCGAAAGAUAUUGCAAGAGGAAGUCAGCUCUCAAGAGUGCAAAGUUGUUGAGGCAGUUGAAUCAAUAACAUCUUUGGAAAAUGCAUUACGUAAGGCAGAAAGUAAAAUUUCUAUAAUUGAAGGUGAGAGGAAAGAUUCUGAAAAUGAAAUAUUUGCUCUAAAUUCCAAAUUAAAUGCAUGCAUGGAAGAGUUGGCCGGGACUAGUGGCAGCUUAGAGAGCAGAUCUAUAGAGUUUGCGGGCUACCUCAAUGAUCUUCAUAAGUUUAUUGCAGAUGAGACAUUGUUGACUGUGGUGACACGAUGCUUUGAGAAGAACUUUGAGAGACUAAGAGAGAUGGAUAUCGUUCUGAAGAACACUAGUGAUUGUUUUGUUAACAGCGGUAUAAUAGGUUCUCAUAGUCAUCAUGCUGUUAAGGAUCCGCAUGCUAUGGAGUACCUCUCUCAUGAAAAGCUCCUUGAUUUUGAUGCUGAAAUUGAAAGUGGUAAAGUGGUUGUUGAAGGUGAUGCUGGCAACAUUUCUUCAUCUUUUAGAAAGAUUAUGGAAGGAAUAUGGUUAAAGAACGAAAGAUUCACAGAUUAUUUUGAAGGUUUCUCCUCUUCAAUGAACGGGUUUAUGGCUGAUCUGUUAAAAAAAGUAGAAGCAACAAGGGAGGAAGUAGUUUUUGUAUGUGGGCACGUUGAAUCCUUGAAAGAGAUGGUGAAGAAUCUCGAAAUGUAUAAACAGGAACAAGAAAAUACCAAAGUGAUGCUGGAAGAUGAUGUUUCACUUUUAUUGUCUGCCUGUGUUGAAGCAACAAAAGAACUUCAGUUUGAAAUGACCAACCAUCUACUCUUACUCGACUCUAUUCCCGAACUUGACAACUUGAAGGAUAGCAUACCCAUGGAAAGUAGUGAAACUAAUGGAGCUUCAGCUGCAGAGUCUCCAGCAAAUUCUACUAGAAGCAAGUCAGCUGCUGCUGCAGAAAAAUUAUUGGCUGCAAGUAGAAAAGUUCAAUCUAUGGUUAAACAGUUUGAGAGCGUCAUUAAGGGUGCAGCUGCUAGAAUUCAAGAUACGCAGCAUAUAUUAGAAAUAACUGAGGCAACUACUGAGAAAGUUAGAGAGGAAAGGGACUUGAACAAAAUUAUGGUAGUUAAGUUGGAGGCUGAUUUACAACUAUUACAGAAUUCCUGUGAUGAUCUGAAGCGUCAACUGGAGGCCUGUCAGGCAAAUAAAGAAGAGUUGAAAGAAAGAGAGGCUGAAGUUUCAUCAUUGUAUAGUAGUUUGGUGAAAGAACAAGAAGACUGCGUUUUGUCAGCAAUGCAAAUGAAAGCCCUCUUUGAGAAAGUUAGAAGAAUCGAGUUCCUUUUUCAAGAAUCAGAAUAUCAAGAUCUGGAACAAUAUGCUUCACCUGAUGUAAAGAAGCUCUUUUACCUAACUGAUUAUGUUUCUGAGUUACAAGAUCAGCUGAAAUUAUUAUCUCAUGACAAGCAAAAGCUGCAGUCUACAGUGACUACACAAACACUUGCAAUUGAACAGCUAAAAGAGGGGGUUGAUAGAGCAUCGAGGGAUCAUCUCGAUUUAGAGGAGAUGAAGAAAGAUCUCUCGGAGCUUUCUUAUUCUUUGGAACAACAUACUAGUUUGUUGGGUAGUAAAUAUAGUGGAGAUUCUGAGUCCGAUGGGUUGAAGGAACUAGUAAGAACUAUAGCAAGGCAGGUCCUGGAUUUGCUUUCAGAAUCUGAAAAUUCAAAAACCAAAUUUGAGGAACUGAGUAAGAAGUUAAUAGGUAGCCAAAAGGUUGUGGAUGAACUAACUACCAAGAAUAAGCUACUUGAAGAGUCACUUCAUGGCCGGACAUCUCAAUCAGAGAUCAUAAAAGAAAGGAGCAUCUUUGAAGCACCAUUUCCUUCUGGAUCAGAGAUAUCAGAAAUUGAAGAAGCGGGACCAGUCGGGAAAAGUGCAAUACCGCCUGUUCCACCAGCCUCAGCUGCCCAUGCUCGAAUGUUGCGAAAAGGUUCAACUGAUCAUCUUGCGAUUGACGUUGAAACAGAAUCCGAUCGUUUAAUAGGAAAUGCCAUGGAAAUUGAUAAAGACAAAGGUCAUGCGUUCAAAUCUCUCAAUUCAUCAGGUCUUAUCCCAAGACAUGGAAAACUUAUUGCAGAUCGAAUUGAUGGAGUUUGGGUCUCCGGCGGUCGAAUUCUAAUGAGUCGUCCAGGCGCAAGGCUAGGUCUCAUUACCUACUGGUUCUUGAUACACAUAUGGUUACUGGGAGCCAUUUUGUGACCAAAUAUAUGAUCCUCCACCAACAAAGGGAUUUCCUUCAUGUGUCGGUAAAUUGUAUCAUCCACCAAACCAAAUACUCUAUAAGAAGAAACCCAUACUUCCUCUUCUUCUUCAACCACAGCUCUUCCUCUUCUUGCCAUUUUCCAUUUGCUCAAAACAAUCUGCAAUCUUCAGAUAUGACAUCAGCUCACAGGGGUUCAUCUCUGCCCAAGUUUGGUGAGUGGGAUGAAAAAGAUCCUGCUGCAGCUGAAGGGUUCACAGUGAUUUUCGAUAGGGCUCGAGACACUAAGAAGAAUGGAGGAACUCCAAAUAAUGUGAUACCACAGGAAAACCAAAACCAAUACAAAAGUAAAAAUCAUGAAGCUGCUAAGAAGAAUCACAAUCCAAAGUAUUCAAGAAAGGAGAAAGCAUCGCAUAGCUGCUUGUGCUUCUGGUAGGCUUCUUGUGGUGGGUUUUUAACUGCAGAGAUUGAUGCUUUGUUGAUUCAAUUGGUUGUGUAUACAGUUUUCCUUUUGGUGUCUUAAUUUUGGAAAAUUUUUAUGGUGUUUUCUUUCUGUUCAUUACAUUAGGCUUCUUGGGUUACCUCUUUCUGUACUUAAUCCAUUUUUAUAGAAAGAAAAAGUUGAGUUAUAUUAUUUUAUUGUGAAAUAAGUUUUGAAUUUGGAGCUUCUUUUGUCAAUGGUAAUACAUGAUUCUUUUGA